Long non-coding RNA from Dama dama (fallow deer), 473 nucleotides. RefSeq lists it as uncharacterized. The record is from RefSeq and is a predicted model, not a curated record. NCBI's taxonomy places the organism in Eukaryota, Metazoa, Chordata, Mammalia, Artiodactyla, Cervidae. The transcript has 3 exons.
GCGGAGCGCCUCCUGCUCUGGUCCCAUAAAUCAGGAGCUGAGAGGAAUACUCUGUCUCCUGAUUUUAUUCUCUACGGAGGAAGACCUGCUGCUGUGUCUCUCCCUUCGAAGCCAAGCUGAUCAGGCUUCUCAGUUGCGAAUAUGGAGUUCCUGUGUGGGGAAACCACCCUGCCAGGUGAAGAAAUGAAGCUGGCGUAAUGCUAUGGGGACCCGGAAACCACGGAUAGAAAAAUUUAGAAGGUCUUCCCUGGUGGCACAGUGGUAAAGAAUCCAUCUGCCAAUGCAGGAGACUUGGGUUCAGUCCCUGGGUCAGGAAGAUCUCUUGGAGGAGGAAAUGGCAACCCACCGCAAUAUUCUUGCCUGGAAAAUCGCAUGGACAGAGGAGCCUUGCAGGACAGUCCAUGGGUUCACAAAAGAGUUGGACAUGACUUGGAGACUAAACAACAACAUCAGCAGAAAUUUAGGAAAGGGAU